AAGCUCGUAGUUGAAUUUCGGAGUUAGUAGGUUGGUCAUGCCUCCGGUAUGUACUGAUCUCACUGAUUCCUCCUUCCUUAUGAACCGUAAUGCCAUUAAUUUGGUGUUGCGGGGAAUUUGGACUGUUACUUUGAAAAAAUUAGAGUGUUUAAAGCAGGCUAACGCUUGAAUACAUCAGCAUGGAAUAAUGAAAUAGGACGUUCGAUCUUAUUUUGUUGGUUUCUAGGAUUGACGUAAUGAUUAAUAGGGAUAGUUGGGGGCAUUAGUAUUCAAUUGUCAGAGGUGAAAUUCUUGGAUUUAUUGAAGACUAACUACUGCGAAAGCAUUUGCCAAGGAUGUUUUCAUUAAUCAAGAACGAAAGCUAGGGGAUCGAAGACGAUCAGAUACCGUCGUAGUCUUAACCAUAAACUAUGCCGACUAGGGAUCGGAUGAUGUUAAUUUUUUAAUGACUCAUUCGGCGCCUUACGGGAAACCAAAGUGUUUGGGUUCCGGGGGGAGUAUGGUCGCAAGGCUGAAACUUAAAGGAAUUGACGGAAGGGCACCACCAGGGGUGGAGCCUGCGGCUUAAUUUGACUCAACACGGGGAAACUCACCAGGUCCAGUCAUAGUAAGGAUUGACAGAUUGAGAGCUCUUUCUUGAUUCUAUGGGUG
Molecule: ribosomal RNA, 651 nt
Filed under: uncultured Rhizophagus
Lineage: Eukaryota; Fungi; Glomeromycota; Glomeromycetes; Glomerales; Glomeraceae
Description: SSU rRNA
Rfam family: Eukaryotic small subunit ribosomal RNA
Source: RNAcentral